UUAGUAUCAUUAUUGCAGAGAAUAAAGUUGAAACUUCCAGUGCAUCAUCCUCAAAACUGCAGAGUGGUCUUUUAGUGGGUGGCAGAGUCAUGGCAGUGGGUUCUCUCAGUGGUGGUCAUGCAGGACAGCAGCAUGCCCAAGUUACCCCCAUUGUGAUGAAGACAUGAAAUGCUUGCUUCCCUGCACUGUACAGGGCCUCAGUGGAGAACAAGCUUGUGGCUGCAGGCACAGCACAGCUCAGGUCACUGGAUAGAUGGUCCCUUUGGAUCACGUGCUCAUCCCUGGCCCAGUCAGCUGUGAUCAGAGGAGCAAGACCGUGAGAUAAGGCUUGAAACCUAAGGAAUUUCAAAGAGGGGGCCAUGAUGGGCAUUCAGCGGCAUCUCAGGAGGGGGCAGAGUAACCAGCAGGUGCUUUGCAUGCUGGUCUGGUGUGUCUGGAAAAGGCAUCCCGCUAAAACGUUUGUCAGGAAACUUCUCAUCAGCAUUUCCAGCAUGCAGGAGCAACCAAGAGAGCCACUUAGAUACCAUUUGAUUAUAAUGUGUUUCUCAGAGAAAUAAAUAGCCCAAAUGGAAGCACA
Molecule: long non-coding RNA, 577 nt
Filed under: Homo sapiens (human)
Lineage: Eukaryota; Metazoa; Chordata; Mammalia; Primates; Hominidae
Description: HSALNT0319194
Source: RNAcentral